UACUUCUGGUCUCAUCUUUUCCCCCUCCCCUGCAGGAACUCGGUACUUGGGGGAAAAAAAUGAAAUGAAUGAAUCAUCUCUCCCUUCUCCUCCAACCAACCAACAAAUUAAUGGACCACCAUCAACAAAAGGUUCCAUUGAAGAUUUGAUGAAGGCAAAGAAGCUGCAACACCUUUCAGACCUUUGGGCUCACACCAUGAAUACCUCUGAUCUUGAAGACAAACGACAAUUUGGGUUCAGCAGAUGAUAGACUUGGAUGGGCUUCUCAUAAGGGCAAACAGGAC
Molecule: long non-coding RNA, 284 nt
Filed under: Cercocebus atys (sooty mangabey)
Lineage: Eukaryota; Metazoa; Chordata; Mammalia; Primates; Cercopithecidae
Description: lncRNA (ENSCATG00000045863.1)
Source: RNAcentral